AUUUGUUGGAUCUUGCAUGGAUAUGCUGUGCUGCAUUUUAUGUUUUUUUAAUCAUCUUAUCAUGAACUAACAAUAUAGCAAGGGAAAUGGUACGUGUCGUCGGGCGGGUGUCGGCCGGUGGAUCUUCAAAAGAUGCGCCGCUUGCGCAGCCAUUUGAUUGAUCUGGGGCUAUUCGAUGGUUCGUGUCUUUUCCUCACCAAUGCAACAAAGGUUGCUUGGACAUGGGCUGAGCUAAAGAGGAGCGUUGUGUCUUCUCCCAGCGCGCAGAGCGCAAUAUAAGAGGUUCCUACUGCAUGGGUUGGCCAAGACUGGGAUUUCUUCUGCGAAACAUUUUUUUAUUACUUAUAGAUGACAUCGGAUAAUAUUUUACAACUUUAGAUUGCCGUAAGAAGCUCUAAUGAUUUUAUUAUUAGGUAUAGAUUAUUGUAUUUGAUGGCUAUAAAAUUGGUAUAGAUGAUGUGGUAAAAUCAUGUACUAAAAAUUCUGCACAUAGAGUUAUACUAAAA
This is a long non-coding RNA of Hordeum vulgare subsp. vulgare (domesticated barley), 506 nucleotides long. RefSeq lists it as uncharacterized. The record is from RefSeq and is a predicted model, not a curated record. The transcript is spliced from 2 exons. NCBI's taxonomy places the organism in Eukaryota, Viridiplantae, Streptophyta, Magnoliopsida, Poales, Poaceae.